This is a long non-coding RNA of Schistocerca cancellata (South American locust), 342 nucleotides long. RefSeq lists it as uncharacterized. NCBI's taxonomy places the organism in Eukaryota, Metazoa, Arthropoda, Insecta, Orthoptera, Acrididae. The record is from RefSeq and is a predicted model, not a curated record. The transcript is spliced from 3 exons.
UAAACUUAACGCUUUAUCGGGGGAAAGGGAAACGGGGAAAUUAGAAUGGAAUUGCCGUAUUAGAUAGUGUUUUGUUAAACAAUUCGAUAAUUCAAAGGAACUUGGUUUUUCGAACGUGAAGACCCAGUAGGCGUACUCAAUAAAACAGUUACCAAAAACCAGCAAUUUCAGAAGGGCGGAACACUGUGCUGCCUCACACUGGUUAGAUCCGCGGAGGAGAGCGACAGAGCCAGGGAGGAAUGGACGGUGGCGGCGACGUCGGCGUUGGCCGGAGCCGAGGGGAAGCGGCGGGUGGCGGCUGCUCGCCUCCGCCUUCGCCUUCGCCUUCAACUCUCAGGUAAG